GGGAGCGGAGGGCGCGGGUCAGCUGUGAGCGCUGCCCCUGCGGUGGUGGGCUUAAGGGAGAGCGAGAACGCUGUGCGGCAGCAAAGAGAGAGCGAGGAGACGGGGGGAAACAGCCCAGGUGAGGGCAGGAGGUGCUCCGGGCACAGAGCGGCAGCUCCCUGCAGGCAGCCCAGGAGAGGCCCACGGUGGAGCAGGCCAUCCCCCUGCUGCCCGCGGGCACCGCACGGAGCAGAUCUGCUCUUGCAGCCAUGGAGGAACCUGUGGUGCAGCAGUGGAUGUGGACUGAAGAAGGUGCAGCCCACGGAGCCCCACAGGAGCAGGGCCUGGGCCGGAGCUGCAGCCCGUGGGGAAGAGCUGUGGGGAGCCGAGGGUCUGGGGGAGGAGCUGGAGCAGUGCCUAAAGGAUGGGCCCCAUGGUAUCGAGCCACAGCAGAGAAAUGCUUGGAGAGCUGCGGCCCACGGGAAGCCCAAGUGGGAUCAGUUCAGAAGGACAGCAUCCAUGGGAGGGACCUUUGAUGGUAUCAGCAGGCAAUGGGAGUACAGCCUGGUGUGCCUCAGACAUGCAGCCCAGCUCCAAACAGCCUAACAGCUUUCUGUGAGGCCUUGUGCUCUCAUUACAAACUCCUCAAAGAUGUAGCAAAAAUAAACAGACAAACUUCCUA
Molecule: non-coding RNA, 661 nt
Organism: Meleagris gallopavo (turkey)
Lineage: Eukaryota; Metazoa; Chordata; Aves; Galliformes; Phasianidae
Source: RefSeq, a predicted model, not a curated record